Molecule: transfer RNA, 74 nt
Filed under: marine sediment metagenome
Rfam family: tRNA
About the family: Transfer RNA (tRNA) molecules are approximately 80 nucleotides in length. Their secondary structure includes four short double-helical elements and three loops (D, anti-codon, and T loops). Further hydrogen bonds mediate the characteristic L-shaped molecular structure. tRNAs have two regions of fundamental functional importance: the anti-codon, which is responsible for specific mRNA codon recognition, and the 3' end, to which the tRNAs corresponding amino acid is attached (by aminoacyl-tRNA synthetases). tRNAs cope with the degeneracy of the genetic code in two manners: having more than one tRNA (with a specific anti-codon) for a particular amino acid; and 'wobble' base-pairing, i.e. permitting non-standard base-pairing at the 3rd anti-codon position.
Source: RNAcentral
GCGCCCGUAGCUCAAUUGGAUAGAGCGGCGGACUACGAAUCCGUAGGCUGGGGGUUCAAGUCCCUCCGGGCGCG